AACGAACGCUGGCGGCAGGCUUAACACAUGCAAGUCGAACGCUCGUAGCAAUACGGGAGUGGCGGACGGGUGAGUAACGCGUGGGAACGUGCCCUGAGGUACGGAAUAACUGCGGGAAACUGCAGCUAAUACCGUAUGAGCCCCGUGAGGGGGAAAGAUUUAUCGCCUUAGGAGCGGCCCGCGUCGGAUUAGCUAGUUGGUGGGGUAAACGGCUUACCAAGGCUUCGAUCCGUAGCUGGUCUGAGAGGACGAUCAGCCACACUGGGACUGAGACACGGCCCAGACUCCUACGGGAGGCAGCAGUGGGGAAUCUUGCGCAAUGGGGGCAACCCUGACGCAGCCAUGCCGCGUGAAUGAUGAAGGCCUUAGGGUUGUAAAGUUCUUUGCCCGUGACGAUGAUGAGGGUAACGGGAGAAUAAGCUCCGGCUAAACUUCGUGCCAGCAGCCGCGGUAA
Molecule: ribosomal RNA, 454 nt
Filed under: uncultured bacterium
Lineage: Bacteria
Description: bacterial SSU rRNA
Rfam family: Bacterial small subunit ribosomal RNA
Source: RNAcentral